GACGAACGCUGGCGGCAUGCCUAAUACAUGCAAGUCGAGCGGAGUGGAUGAGAAGCUUGCUUCUCUGACGCUUAGCGGCGGACGGGUGAGUAACACGUAGGCAACCUGCCUUUCAGUUUGGGAUAACUUCCGGAAACGGAUGCUAAUACCGAAUACAUCAUCUUCUGGCAUCAGAGAAUGAGGAAAGACGGCGCAAGCUGUCACUGAGAGAUGGGCCUGCGGCGCAUUAGCUAGUUGGUGGGGUAAUGGCCCACCAAGGCGACGAUGCGUAGCCGACCUGAGAGGGUGAACGGCCACACUGGGACUGAGACACGGCCCAGACUCCUACGGGAGGCAGCAGUAGGGAAUCUUCCACAAUGGGCGAAAGCCUGAUGGAGCAAUGCCGCGUGAGUGAUGAAGGUUUUCGGAUCGUAAAGCUCUGUUGCCAGGGAAGAACGUCCGGGUGAGUAACUGCACCCGGAGUGACGGUACCUGAGAAGAAAGCCCCGGCUAACUACGUGCCAGCAGCCGCGGUAA
RNAcentral lists this ribosomal RNA (516 nucleotides) under uncultured bacterium. RNAcentral describes it as "partial 16S ribosomal RNA". It matches the Rfam family "Bacterial small subunit ribosomal RNA", at positions 28 to 523 of the family's 1533-position model. The record is from RNAcentral.